Molecule: ribosomal RNA, 424 nt
Filed under: uncultured Bacteroides sp.
Lineage: Bacteria; Pseudomonadati; Bacteroidota; Bacteroidia; Bacteroidales; Bacteroidaceae
Description: bacterial SSU rRNA
Rfam family: Bacterial small subunit ribosomal RNA
Source: RNAcentral
CCUACGGGAGGCAGCAGUGGGGAAUAUUGGGCAAUGGGGGAAACCCUGACCCAGCAACGCCGCGUGAGGGAAGAAGGUCUUCGGAUUGUAAACCUUUGUCCUAUGGGACGAAGAAAGUGACGGUACCAUAGGAGGAAGCUCCGGCUAACUACGUGCCAGCAGCCGCGGUAAUACGUAGGGAGCGAGCGUUGUCCGGAAUUACUGGGCGUAAAGGGUGCGUAGGUGGUCAAGUAAGUCAGAUGUGAAAGACCGGGGCUUAACCCCGGGAUUGCAUUUGAAACUGUUUGACUUGAGUACAGGAGAGGGAAGUGGAAUUCCUAGUGUAGCGGUGAAAUGCGUAGAUAUUAGGAGGAACACCAGUGGCGAAGGCGACUUUCUGGACUGCAACUGACACUGAGGCACGAAAGCGUGGGGAGCAAACAGG